CGUCCUACGGGAGAAAGCAGGGGACCUUCGGGCCUUGCGCUAUCAGAUGAGCCUAGGUCGGAUUAGCUAGUUGGUGAGGUAAUGGCUCACCAAGGCGACGAUCCGUAACUGGUCUGAGAGGAUGAUCAGUCACACUGGAACUGAGACACGGUCCAGACUCCUACGGGAGGCAGCAGUGGGGAAUAUUGGACAAUGGGCGAAAGCCUGAUCCAGCCAUGCCGCGUGUGUGAAGAAGGUCUUCGGAUUGUAAAGCACUUUAAGUUGGGAGGAAGGGUUGUAGAUUAAUACUCUGCAAUUUUGACGUUACCGACAGAAUAAGCACCGGCUAACUCUGUGCCAGCAGCCGCGGUAAUACAGAGGGUGCAAGCGUUAAUCGGAAUUACUGGGCGUAAAGCGCGCGUAGGUGGUUCGUUAAGUUGGAUGUGAAAUCCCCGGGCUCAACCUGGGAACUGCAUCCAAAACUGGCGAGCUAGAGUAUGGUAGAGGGUGGGUGGGAAUUUCCUGUGUAGCG
This 511-nucleotide ribosomal RNA is filed under the name Pseudomonas sp. RNAcentral's name for it is "bacterial SSU rRNA". It matches the Rfam family "Bacterial small subunit ribosomal RNA", at positions 190 to 680 of the family's 1533-position model. The record is from RNAcentral. Lineage: Bacteria; Pseudomonadati; Pseudomonadota; Gammaproteobacteria; Pseudomonadales; Pseudomonadaceae.